Molecule: long non-coding RNA, 736 nt
Filed under: Setaria italica (foxtail millet)
Lineage: Eukaryota; Viridiplantae; Streptophyta; Magnoliopsida; Poales; Poaceae
Description: long non-coding RNA (SITA_LNC005107)
Source: RNAcentral
ACCACAGAAACAAGGGAGUUUUUGAUGGGGCAGCCCCUUCUUUGCAAGCAGCACAUCAGUUCUUUAAAGAAGAGUUGAGGCUUUGGGGCCUUGCCGGUGCUAAAAAAAAUUCAGGAUUUAUUUCAGGGUCAAGGGGAGGGUCAAGUGAGAGUUUCUUGGUUUAGGUCUGUGGGGUGUUGCAGCAGCCUUAUUUCCUCCUUCGUGAGGAAAGGAGACUGCUUUGUACGGGGAUCUUUCCCCUUCUUUCUCUCUUAAUAUAAAGAUACACAGCUCUCCUGCGUGUUCAAUAAAAAAAAAGAUAAGCAUACACAUGUCCAUGGUCAAAGAACUAGCAAUUAAAAGAGGGUAGCACCUUCCUUUGUGGUGUGCGGCCCAUUGGAGCAAAUAGGAUGAGGAUGCAAACAGUAAAGAAAAUCACUUAACAAGGCCAAACGUCAAGGUACCAUGCGGAAAUAGGCAAAGCUUCAUAACUCGAAUGGGAUUAGGGUACUAGAAGAGGGAUAGACAGAAUAAAGAAAGUUUUAGAGAGCAUGACCCAUUCUUGAUGUAAAGGAAGAUAACCACCAAGGAAAAAGAACUCAAGGAAAAGUAUAAUUCUACAAUUAAAUUGUAAAUGUUAUGAUGGUCGAUACUGUGUGAACAUGAAAUGGACCUACACUGUUACUGUGCGUUUCAACAGUAUUGCUGCAGUGGCUGCACCAUAAACUUUCAAAUUUAUAAGAUAUAGUUUGAUCAC